This 294-nucleotide ribosomal RNA is filed under the name uncultured bacterium. RNAcentral describes it as "partial 16S ribosomal RNA". The record is from RNAcentral.
GGACUACAGGGGUAUCUAAUCCCGUUCGAUCCCCACGCUUUCGUGUCUCAGCGUCAGGAGCGCGCCAGUCAUGUGCCUUCGCAUUUGGUGUUCCCCAUGAUAUCAACGGAUUUCACCCCUACACCAUGAGUUCCCAUGACCUCUCGCGUCCUCUAAGCUCGACCGUUUCCACCGCAUUCCACAGGUUAAGCCUGCGGGCUUUUACGGAGGACUAGUCGUGCCGCCUACACACCCUUUACGCCCAGUGAUUCCGGAUAAUGCUCGGAGCCUCUGUAUUACCGCGGCUGCUGGCAC